UGUACAGACACGAUGAUUGCCUCGUAUUUAUACGAGGAGGAAAGUCCGGACACGCCCACAUUUAUUUGUGGAGGAUGGUAGCGGGUAACACCCGUCGUAUAGCAGUAUAAGAGGUGCGAGCAGAGACGUUCAAAGCGAAAGCUGAGGAGUUCCUUCGGGAAUAGCCUUUUGGGAAACCAAGAGGGUGAAACGGCUAAAUCCUUACCUGCGUGCAAGACCGCGCUUUGCCGGCUCAAUAUCCUUCUGGGAUUUUGAGCCGGCAAAGAGAGUCGCAAGAGGUGUAUAGCAAUAUACAUCCUAGGUAAAUAAUCAUCCGGGCUUCGGCCUGACAGAAUCCGGCUUAUGUGUACAAAAA
RNAcentral lists this RNase P RNA (355 nucleotides) under Candidatus Kaiserbacteria bacterium. RNAcentral describes it as "RNase P RNA component class A". It matches the Rfam family "Bacterial RNase P class A". Rfam says of the family: Ribonuclease P (RNase P) is a ubiquitous endoribonuclease, found in archaea, bacteria and eukarya as well as chloroplasts and mitochondria. Its best characterised activity is the generation of mature 5'-ends of tRNAs by cleaving the 5'-leader elements of precursor-tRNAs. Lineage: Bacteria; Candidatus Kaiseribacteriota. The record is from RNAcentral. RNAcentral also lists the same sequence under 1 other name.